This 406-nucleotide RNase P RNA is filed under the name Candidatus Abawacabacteria bacterium RBG_16_42_10. RNAcentral's name for it is "RNase P RNA component class A". It matches the Rfam family "Bacterial RNase P class A". From Rfam's summary of the family: Ribonuclease P (RNase P) is a ubiquitous endoribonuclease, found in archaea, bacteria and eukarya as well as chloroplasts and mitochondria. Its best characterised activity is the generation of mature 5'-ends of tRNAs by cleaving the 5'-leader elements of precursor-tRNAs. The record is from RNAcentral. Lineage: Bacteria; Candidatus Abawacaibacteriota.
UGCCUCUUUUGGACAGAUUAUCGCCCUGUACCAUCUGGUACAGGGAGGAAAGUCCGGACAGCAGCUUGAGCAUCAUAGUUCCUAACGGGAACCGUCCCGCAAUAUAUUCAAAAUGCGAGAUAGGGAUAGUGCCACAGAGACAAUACGAAUUUUGCUUCGGCGAAAUCAAAGGUGAAAAGUCCUACGUACGUGGGAAUGCGUCUAGUGAUAGACGAGUGUCGGUAAACCCUAUGAGCUGCAAGGUGGGAUGGAGAGAAAGGAAAUUCUUUGCUCAACAAGACCUUUUUCGCCCACUGCAUGAUCCCGCCCGCAAGGGCGGGACUAGAUAGAUGAUAGUCACCCAUGAACCACUCGCUAACGCUUGGAUUCAGGGCUACAGAAUCCGGCUUACCAAAGGAGGCAAUUU